UAUAUUUGAGUAUGUGAUGUAUGUUAAUUUUUGGCAUUAAUGGAGAUAGUUUAAUUCUAUCAAAUGUAA
This 69-nucleotide transfer RNA is filed under the name Longitarsus ibericus. RNAcentral describes it as "tRNA-Gln". Lineage: Eukaryota; Metazoa; Arthropoda; Insecta; Coleoptera; Chrysomelidae. The record is from RNAcentral.